AAAAUGACAAACCCUGUUUCUGUGUCCAACGUUUGACCGUCCGUUUUAUUUGAAAAAAUUAUAAAAAAAAUUAAAAAGACAAGUCACGCAUAAAAUAUUAAUCAUGUUUUAUCAUCUAACAACAAUAAAAAUACGAAUUAUAAAAAAAUUUUAUAUAAGACGGACAAUUAAAGUUGGACACGGAAACCCAUGUUUUGUCUUAUG
Oryza glaberrima (African rice) is the source of this 204-nucleotide non-coding RNA. NCBI's taxonomy places the organism in Eukaryota, Viridiplantae, Streptophyta, Magnoliopsida, Poales, Poaceae. The record is from Rfam.